GACGAACGCUGGCGGCGUGCUUAACACAUGCAAGUCGAACGGAAAGGCCCUGCUUUUGUGGGGUGCUCGAGUGGCGAACGGGUGAGUAACACGUGAGUAACCUGCCCUUGACUUUGGGAUAACUUCAGGAAACUGGGGCUAAUACCGGAUAGGAGCUCCUGCUGCAUGGUGGGGGUCGGAAAGCUUCGGCGGUUGGGGAUGGACUCGCGGCUUACCAGCUUGUUGGGGGGGUAGUGGCUUACCAAGGCUUUGACGGGUAGCCGGCCUGAGAGGGUGACCGGGCACAUUGGGACUGAGGGAGGGCGCAGACUGCUACGGGGGGCAGCGGUGGGGAGUAUGGCACAGUGGGGGGACGCCUGAGGCGGAGACGCCGCGAGCGGGAUGACGGCCUUGGGGUUGUAAACCGCUUUCGGCUGUGACGAAGCGGGAGUGACGGUAAUGGGUGAAGAAGCACCGGCUAACUACGUG
RNAcentral lists this ribosomal RNA (468 nucleotides) under uncultured bacterium. Its description in RNAcentral is "partial 16S ribosomal RNA". It matches the Rfam family "Bacterial small subunit ribosomal RNA", at positions 28 to 507 of the family's 1533-position model. The record is from RNAcentral.